RNAcentral lists this ribosomal RNA (429 nucleotides) under Chloroflexota bacterium. RNAcentral's name for it is "Chloroflexi bacterium partial 16S ribosomal RNA". It matches the Rfam family "Bacterial small subunit ribosomal RNA", at positions 355 to 776 of the family's 1533-position model. Lineage: Bacteria; Bacillati; Chloroflexota. The record is from RNAcentral.
UGGGGAAUAUUGCACAAUGGGCGCAAGCCUGAUGCAGCCAUGCCGCGUGUAUGAAGAAGGCCUUCGGGUUGUAAAGUACUUUCAGUCGGGAGGAAGGUGUCAAGGUUAAUAACCUUGGCAAUUGACGUUACCGACAGAAGAAGCACCGGCUAACUCCGUGCCAGCAGCCUCGGUAAUACGGAGGGUGCAAGCGUUAAUCGGAAUUACUGGGCGUAAAGCGCACGCAGGCGGUUGAUUGAGUCCGAUGUGAAAUCCCCGGGCUUAACCCGGGAAUUGCAUCUGAUACUGGUCAGCUAGAGUCUUGUAGAGGGGGGUAGAAUUCCAUGUGUAGCGGUGAAAUGCGUAGAGAUGUGGAGGAAUACCGGUGGCAAAGGCGGCCCCCUGGACAAAGACUGACGCUCAGGUGCGAAAGCGUGGGGAGCAAACAGG